This 167-nucleotide ribosomal RNA is filed under the name Croton ameliae. RNAcentral describes it as "5.8S ribosomal RNA". It matches the Rfam family "5.8S ribosomal RNA". Rfam says of the family: 5.8S ribosomal RNA (5.8S rRNA) is a component of the large subunit of the eukaryotic ribosome. It is transcribed by RNA polymerase I as part of the 45S precursor that also contains 18S and 28S rRNA. The record is from RNAcentral. Lineage: Eukaryota; Viridiplantae; Streptophyta; Magnoliopsida; Malpighiales; Euphorbiaceae.
ACGACUCUCGGCAACGGAUAUCUCGGCUCUCGCAUCGAUUGAGAACGCAGCGAAAUGCGAUACUUGGUGUGAAUUGCAGAAUCCCGUGAACCAUCGAGUUUUUGAACGCAAGUUGCGCCCAAAGCCUUUCUGGCUGAGGGCACGUCUGCCUGGGUGUCACGCAACAU